Molecule: ribosomal RNA, 468 nt
Filed under: uncultured bacterium
Lineage: Bacteria
Description: partial 16S ribosomal RNA
Rfam family: Bacterial small subunit ribosomal RNA
Source: RNAcentral
GACGAACGCUGGCGGCGUGCUUAACACAUGCAAGUCGAACGGAAAGACCCUGCUUUUGCUUGGUGCUCGAUAGGCGAACGGGUGAGUAACACGCGUGUAACCUGUCCUUAACUUUGGGAUAACUUUAGGAAACUGGGGAUAAUACCCGAUAGGAUCUCCUGCUGCACGGGGGGGGUUGGAAAGUUUCGGCGGUUCGGGCUGGAUUGGCGGCUUAUCCGCUUGUUGGUGGGGUAGUUGCUUACCAAGGUUUUGACGGGUAGCCUGCCUGAGAGGGUGAACGGCCACAUGGGGACUAAGGGACGGCGCAGUAUGCUACGGUAGGCAGCGGUGGAGAAUAUUGCGGAAUGGGGGGAAGCGUGAUGCAGCAGCGCCCGGUGCGGAAUGACGGCCUUCGGGUUGUAAACCGAUUUCGACGGUGCCGAAGCGUGAGUGACGGUAAUGAGUAAAAAAGCACCGGCUAACUACGUG